GACUACACGGGUAUCUAAUCCUGUUUGCUCCCCACGCUUUCGCACCUCAGCGUCAGGAAUAAGCCAAGAAGCCGCCUUCGCAACCGGUGUUCCUCUCGAGAUCUACGCAUUUUACCGCUACUCCGAGAAUUCCACUUCUCUCUCUUAUCCUCUAGCAAAUCAGUUUUGAUCGCAGUUCCUUGGUUGAGCCAAGGGAUUUAACAACCAACUUAAUAAGCCGCCUACGCGCUCUUUACGCCCAGUGAUUCCGAAUAACGCUUGCACCCUUCGUAUUACCGCGGCUGCUGGCACGAAGUUAGCCGGUGCUUUCUCUAGUGGUACCGUCAUCUCCAGUAUGUAUUAGAUACCGUUCUUUCUUCCCACUUAACAGGAGUUUACGAUCCUAAAACCUUCAUCCUCCACGCGGCGUCGCUGCGUCAGGGUUUCCCCCAUUGCGCAAUAUUCCCCACUGCUGCCCCCCGUAGG
RNAcentral lists this ribosomal RNA (465 nucleotides) under uncultured Pseudomonadota bacterium. RNAcentral's name for it is "uncultured proteobacterium partial 16S ribosomal RNA". Lineage: Bacteria; Pseudomonadati; Pseudomonadota. The record is from RNAcentral.